GCUCGCGUAUUUCUUCUUCUUCCUUUCUUUUCCCCUGCUUUUCCAUCUUCUUUUUUCCCUCGUUCUCGCCUUCUCUUCCACCACCUCCGAAUUCCCACCUUAUCCAUUGAAGCCGUUUAUGAGCUUUCUCACUCCAUUGAAGCAGCCGCACCUCCUUCUCUCUCCAUAUCUCUCCUCCAUUGAACUCGUGCUCUUUAUUCUCCAUUGAAGCGGAUUCUGAGCUUUCUCACCUCCAUUGAAGCAGCUUCGAGGGUUCUGGUAAUCUAAGGCUUGUCAUUAAAGCGCGCACGGCUCCACCUCCACCACAACCGCCUCCUUGUCACGGCCGCACGACCUUCUUUUUCUAGGGUUUAUCGUCAAUUCCCCCCCUUUUCUUCGAUCUCCUUCUCCGCCACUGCGCCGCAAGCGUUUCCAUCAAUGGCUAGGGUUUUCAGAAACUAGAGUUUCUGAAUUGUGAUAAACACCAAUGGAGAAAACGACAUCACAGUACAGUUCUGUUUUCUACUGUAUUUUGUGGAAGCUGUUCCUGAGGCGCAGCUUCAAUCUGAAAUCAGCCCGUCUUCUACAAAUCUACAGGAGUUUACUACAAUUUAAUAGAAAUUGAGAAAAAAAGUCGGGCAACUAUGAGGACUCUAUUAUACUGAUAUAUUUAAAGAAAACAAGAAGGACUAGUACAUUCAGAAGAUAGGCAAGAGAGAUUAUUUUACCCUUCUGAAGUCUUAUUUGGCAGGGUUUUGAAGUAUAAGUUCAUCAUUGUAAGGUUAUUGAACCAGUUCCGUUUUCUACUGUAUUUUCUAGAACUUCUUGUGGGCUGUGGCAUGGCUUCAAUCUGAUAUUAGCCUGUCUACAGUAGUUUACUCGGAUUUUCUUGAAAUUGAGACAAAGAUUAAGGCUGCUAGAGCUCACUGCUCUUACAAUAUUUAAAGGCCAAGGAAAUCAUUUGAUUCUUGUAGCCUAGGUUCUGGCUAAGGGGUAAAGGAUUACACUGGAACCAGCAAUUUCAAAUCGAGUGAUCUCUAGAAAUAGCAGAGCGCCACCAGCACAGCACCACAGCAGCCGCAGCAGAACCCAGCAAACACAGCAUCCAGCAGCCAAACCAGCCAGCAACACAUCACUACAACAGAGCAGCAAACACCAAGCACAGCCUGACCAGAGCAGAACAGAAACACAGCAGCUCAAGAACUCAAACCAGUCACCCAGCCAGCCUGAACAUAACAGAGACACAGCCACAGAAGCAAACAGAUGCCCAGCCAGCCUGAACAGGACAGAGGCACAGCAGCGCAGCAGAACA
Chenopodium quinoa (quinoa) is the source of this 1291-nucleotide long non-coding RNA. RefSeq lists it as uncharacterized. The record is from RefSeq and is a predicted model, not a curated record. Lineage: Eukaryota; Viridiplantae; Streptophyta; Magnoliopsida; Caryophyllales; Amaranthaceae. The transcript is spliced from 7 exons.